GGAAAGCAGAAUUUCUAGUGUAGAGGUGAAAUUCGUAGAUAUUAGAAAGAAUACCAAUUGCGAAGGCAGCUUUCUGGAUCAUUACUGACACUGAGGAACGAAAGCAUGGGUAGCGAAGAGGAUUAGAUACCCUCGUAGUCCAUGCCGUAAACGAUGUGUGUUAGACGUUGGAAAUUUAUUUUCAGUGUCGCAGCGAAAGCGAUAAACACACCGCCUGGGGAGUACGACCGCAAGGUUAAAACUCAAAUGAAUUGACGGGGACCCGCACAAGUAGUGGAGCAUGUGGUUUAAUUCGAAGAUACGCGCAGAACCUUACCAACACUUGACAUGUUCGUCGCGACUUUGAGAGAUCAAAGUUUUCGGUUCGGCCGGACGAAACACAGGUGCUGCAUGGCUGUCGUCAGCUCGUGUCGUGAGAUGUUGGGUUAAGUCCCGCAACGAGCGCAACCCUCACUUUUAGUUGCCAUCAUUAAGUUGGGCACUCUGAAAGAACUGCCAGUGAUAAGCUGGAGGAAGGUGGGGAUGACGUCAAGUCCUCAUGGCCCUUACGUGUUGGGCUACACACGUGCUACAAUGGUAUCUACAACAGGAAGCAAGACUGCGAAGUUAAGCAAAUCCUUAAAAGAUACCUCAGUUCGGAUUGCACUCUGCAACUCGAGUGCAUGAAGCUGGAAUUACUAGUAAUCGUGGAUCAGCGUGCCACGGUGAAUGCGUUCCCGGGUCUUGUACACACCGCCCGUCACACCAUGGGAGUUGGUUCUACCUUAAGGCAAGGUUUCAAACCCUUGACCACGGUAUAGUCAGCGACUGGGGUGAAGUCGUAACAAGGUAGCCGUAGGGGAACCUGCGGCUG
RNAcentral lists this ribosomal RNA (853 nucleotides) under marine metagenome. Its description in RNAcentral is "bacterial SSU rRNA". It matches the Rfam family "Bacterial small subunit ribosomal RNA", at positions 656 to 1520 of the family's 1533-position model. The record is from RNAcentral.